This 75-nucleotide transfer RNA is filed under the name Candidatus Tayloriibacteriota bacterium. RNAcentral's name for it is "Candidatus Taylorbacteria bacterium (sediment metagenome) tRNA-Val". It matches the Rfam family "tRNA". Rfam says of the family: Transfer RNA (tRNA) molecules are approximately 80 nucleotides in length. Their secondary structure includes four short double-helical elements and three loops (D, anti-codon, and T loops). Lineage: Bacteria; Candidatus Tayloriibacteriota. The record is from RNAcentral.
GCGCGUUUAGCUCAGUGGCAGAGCAACUCGUUUACACCGAGUAGGUCGGGGGUUCGAUCCCCUCAACGCGCACCA